Molecule: ribosomal RNA, 402 nt
Filed under: uncultured bacterium
Lineage: Bacteria
Description: bacterial SSU rRNA
Rfam family: Bacterial small subunit ribosomal RNA
Source: RNAcentral
UGGGGAAUAUUGCACAAUGGGCGAAAGCCUGAUGCAGCAACGCUGCGUGAGUGAUGAAGGCCUUCGGGUUGUAAAGCUCUGUCUUCUGGGACGAUAAUGACGGUACCAGAGGAGGAAGCCACGGCUAACUACGUGCCAGCAGCCGCGGUAAUACGUAGGUGGCAAGCGUUGUCCGGAUUUACUGGGCGUAAAGGAUGCGUAGGCGGAUACUUAAGUCAGAUGUGAAAAUCCCGGGCUUAACUUGGGAACUGCAUUUGAAACUGGGUAUCUAGAGUGCGGGAGAGGAAAGUGGAAUUCCUAGUGUAGCGGUGAAAUGCGUAGAGAUUAGGAAGAACACCAGUGGCGAAGGCGACUUUCUGGACCGUAACUGACGCUGAGGCAUGAAAGCGUGGGGAGCAAACA